GCUGUCGUCAGCUCGUGUUGUGAAAUGUUGGGAUAAGUCCCGCAACGAGCGCACCCCUUAUCCUUGUUUGCCAGCACUUCGGGUGGGAACUCCAGGGAGACUGCCGGUGAUAAACCGGAGGAAGGUGGGGACGACGUCAAGUCAUCAUGGCCCUUACGAGUAGGGCUACACACGUGCUACAAUGGCGCAUACAGAGGGCGGCCAACUUGGGAAAGUGAGCGAAUCCCAAAAAGUGCGUCGUAGUCCGGAUUGGAGUCUGCAACUCGACUCCAUGAAGUCGGAAUCGCUAGUAAUCGUGGAUCAGAAUCCCACGGUGAAUACGUUCCCGGCCCUUGUACACACCGCCCGUCACACCAUGGGAGUGGGCUGCAAAAGAAGUGGGUAGUUUAACCUUCGGGAGGACGCUCACCACUUUGUGGUUCAUGACUGGGGU
RNAcentral lists this ribosomal RNA (433 nucleotides) under uncultured bacterium. RNAcentral describes it as "bacterial SSU rRNA". It matches the Rfam family "Bacterial small subunit ribosomal RNA", at positions 1048 to 1481 of the family's 1533-position model. The record is from RNAcentral.